UACGGAGGGUGCAAGCGUUGUCCGGAAUCACUGGGCGUAAAGGGCGCGUAGGCGGCCUGGUAAGUAGGGGGUGAAAUCUUGCGGCUUAACCGCAGGGCUGCCUUCUAAACUGUCAGGCUUGAGCACGGUAGAGGCAGAUGGAAUUCCCGGUGUAGCGGUGGAAUGCGUAGAGAUCGGGAAGAACAUCAGUGGCGAAGGCGGUCUGCUGGGCCGUUGCUGACGCUGAGGCGCGACAGCGUGGGGAGCAAACAGG
RNAcentral lists this ribosomal RNA (253 nucleotides) under uncultured bacterium. RNAcentral describes it as "partial 16S ribosomal RNA". It matches the Rfam family "Bacterial small subunit ribosomal RNA", at positions 524 to 776 of the family's 1533-position model. The record is from RNAcentral.